GUGUAAUCCACACGCAAGUUACUCGCUAGCUCUGGUUAAGUUCUUCACAAGGUUGACCACCCAUUGGAUUGGUCCCUUGUCAAUUCCCGACCGCUAAUAUUUUAUCUUAUCAGUGGAAUACCAUCGAUGUGAUCCACACGCGCUUCUGUUUCUGUUUAUCGGGGCUCCACACACAUUCCUGGCUUAAAUUGACAUCUCGCCUGGGUUAGCGCACGGCGUGUCAUAUUCAGUCCGAUUGAUCGAUCUUGUCCGUGCGGUUCUCUAGUAAGCACACCCUCGGAGUCACGAUGUCCGAUUCAUCGAAAAAUGUGCAACUUGUUGGCAGCAGUGCGCUGUGUUUACUGGUGCUGCUGUCCCUAACGCUGGGAGCGGUGUUUGGGGUUUCCGAGGGUCGCGUCAUCUACUACAACGCGGCGAGGAAAGAUACCAACACAACGGUCAACAAAUCCAACAUUUUCGUCUCUCCAGUGCGGUGUCCCGCCGGCUACGGGUUGGAUCGAUUCCGACGGUGCAGAAAGCUGGUCUUCUGAGGUUCUCUGGGGGGCGCAGUGAUGACAGAAUCUAAACCGACGAAGGAUUGAUUGUUGUUCGAGCGUAACGGAGCAGCCCAAAGGGGAUCCGCUGUUACAAUCGAUGAAUGUACUUGUGUAAAUAUGGUAUAUAGUUUUGAUUAAGUUCUCUUUGCAAUGUAUUAUUAUUAAUAAAUAAAUCACUAGCGUAAGGUAUAAGA
Molecule: long non-coding RNA, 730 nt
Organism: Toxorhynchites rutilus septentrionalis
Lineage: Eukaryota; Metazoa; Arthropoda; Insecta; Diptera; Culicidae
Exons: 2
Source: RefSeq, a predicted model, not a curated record